UACGUAGGGUGCAAGCGUUAAUCGGAAUUACUGGGCGUAAAGCGUGCGCAGGCGGUUUCGUAAGUCUGUCGUGAAAUCCCCGGGCUUAACCUGGGAAUGGCGAUGGAGACUGCGAGGCUAGAGUUUGGCAGAGGGGGGUAGAAUUCCACGUGUAGCAGUGAAAUGCGUAGAGAUGUGGAGGAAUACCGAUGGCGAAGGCAGCCCCCUGGGCCAAUACUGACGCUCAUGCACGAAAGCGUGGGGAGCAAACAGG
RNAcentral lists this ribosomal RNA (253 nucleotides) under uncultured bacterium. Its description in RNAcentral is "partial 16S ribosomal RNA". It matches the Rfam family "Bacterial small subunit ribosomal RNA", at positions 524 to 776 of the family's 1533-position model. The record is from RNAcentral.